This is a long non-coding RNA of Quercus robur (English oak), 892 nucleotides long. RefSeq lists it as uncharacterized. The record is from RefSeq and is a predicted model, not a curated record. Lineage: Eukaryota; Viridiplantae; Streptophyta; Magnoliopsida; Fagales; Fagaceae. The transcript is spliced from 3 exons.
UCCGGAUCCUCUCCAUUUCCCUUUGAAAUGGAGAGGGUCCAGUUCACGGUGGGGAUUUAUUUGAAAAUUAUCAAGGGCCAAAAACAUGCCACAUCAUUUAAAUGUAAACACCACACUUAACCCCAGUUAAACAUUUAAACUACUUUAACUCAGGUUAAACACUUAAACUAGAGGCACUCAACCGGACAAACCACUGAAAAUGUUUCAGACUCUCUUUCAAACUCUCUCUCACCAAACCCAUAUGAAAAUUUCAAACUCUCUUCUCCAAGGAUUUUCUCUCUGCAUUCCACGGUCCUCAGUGUCGCUGGUGCCACCAGCCAUCGUGCCAAGCCACUUUGUUGUGUGGGCUAUGUCUCACACCAACCUAGCAUCAGCGGAAAGUGCCGCCCACUUGCAGGCAUAGGCACUACCCAGCAUCACUGGACUGCUCCGCUAGAACAAUCACUGCCCACUUUUGGUUUUGAGCUUGGUGGGGUGUUUCAGAUUUGGGGGAUUUAUGGAUUGUUUUGAUCUAAAUUUGUUCUAAAAGCAAUGGGAUUUAUGUUUUGAUCUCUGUGUUUGUGAAAGAACCAUGUACUCCUCGAGAGGGAGCAAUGCGUUUGGGCAGCAAUCGUAUGCGGCUCAAUCGGCUGCGUAUGGCGCUAGUGAAUGGAAUGGGCAAGUUGUUUAACAUGAGGCAAGUCGAAGUGAUCAAGCUAAGAUUGAAAGUUGUGGACUUUGGAUGGAAUGUAUAGUCAAGAAGCAAGACGUGGAAUGCGUAGUCAAGCAAUAGGCACAACAAUUGUAGAAAUUUCAUGUUAUUAUAAUCAUGUAAUUAAAGUGUAUAUUUCAAUGGAAUUCUUGUUAUGUGACCAAAGUGUACAUUUUAAUAAAAUUUGUUCAUUUUUUAUUA